CGGCGGCGGUGGAAGACCCAACUCCGAGCGCCGGUAUCGCGUCAGGAAUGAAUAAAUACGAUGGCUUCUGGCUUCCAUGUGGCGGAGCUUGUCCCUGCGAUGUGUCUCUGCGUGCUGUCAGCUGCUGAGAGUCAAGUGAUAAGCGCACCUUUUGUUAAUUCUUUCUUUUUUUUCCUCGUGCACAUAGAGCAACCAUCAACGCCUUUUUUUAUUUAUUUUAAUUCAUAAUUUUACUUCAUUAGCGAUGUAAAAUGGAUUGUUGCAAUACAUCAGCAUUCUGAGAGGACUGUGUGAUAACCUAUGUGUAUGGCUGUAGAGGGUACCUGAAAUUCCGGGAGGAAUAUGCAAGGAGAACAGAAACGAACAAAUGUGCGUACAAUCCUAUUUUAGAAAAGCAUUGAUCCAUUCUUAGAAUGGAAGAUGAAGCAAAGUAUACAUGUGCCUUGAGCAGCAUUAUAAAUAAUCAGAAGUAUGAAUAAUUGGGUUAAUAACCAGGAUUUAACUGCUUUCUUCUUCUAGAAGGAUAAGGGAAUAGUUUAAGAGAAAAGUGUUGCUCUCUAUAAGAUACCAUGAAUGCUAAUUUCAUUACAUCAGCUGCUUGAAUGCUGUAACUCAUGCAGAAGUUUUUUUAUUGGGCAGAAACUAUGUUUUGCAGUAUACUUUUCCAAAGUGUUAUGAACUCUGGAAUAGGUUAUUCAUAGCAAGAUAGUAUUUGGCAGACUUGGUUAAGAUAUUGGUUCAUCAAGCUAAUUAUUCUACCAACAGCAGCAUCCUUUUCCUGAUACUUUAGUCAGGAGUGAUGUCAGAUGAAAUGAAGUAAAUCAUGAUGUCGGACUGAUGGCACAUAAAUGUUACUAACUGAAAAUUUUGACAUAUUGUGAUAACUAGGAGAGCAUUUUGUAGGGGAAAAAAACCCCAACAACACUGCUUAUCUGUAAAAAUAAUUUAGUUUUGAUAGGAAGGAUUUUCUGGAAUAGCUGUGGUAACAUACAGAUUGGUGUCUAUGUGCUUAUUUUGAUGAGCAAAUCAAAGCCAGAAAUGAGCUAUACUGAACUGGCUAAUUCUCUCCUUUCUCCUCUGUGAAGCUAAAGGAUCAGCCUUCAAGUAAUAAUGCUCUCUUGCACUGUGGGAGGAUAUUAACUGCUUUGGUGUCCAUCACAAUGAAUGAAUUUCUGGGGAUGUAGGGAGGAUGAAGCAGGACUGUGUGUACAGCCUCAUUAAGAAAACCAGGUUAUCCACUCUCUGUUACUAGAAUUUUCAGUAGUUCCAUGGUUUCCAGCCUCAUGCUAUGUCUUCAAAACUACUAACUUGCCAGAGUCUGAUCCUACAAAAUAAUGAACAAUUUCUGGAGGUUCUUAAUGUUCUUCUGUUUAGAGCAGGGAACUCUCAGCACCCACAAAAAUUCUUAGUGUUUAAGAGCAGCAUGGAUUAUUAGGAUUAUCUGAUAUGCUGCCAUACAUGACAAAUGAUGGAACUUCAUACUGGGACAGCAUGUCUUACCUAAAAUUGCACUGUAUGUGUCAGGUUGGUGACCUGCUCACAAAAGGACAACAGUUGUCCAAACCCAGAGCAAUGUUUGUCAGAGGCUCUAGCAGAGAAUUCUUACCAUGAAUAAGGAACAAAACCUAACAGGGACAGGAGGAAUGACUACCUAUGAAGAUAGAGUUUUGCAGAAAUUGUGUUUAUAAGCAAGUAAUCUUUUUCAUAGUCACAGUAAAAUUGCUCUAUCAGUCUUUGUCCUUGGAAAUCCUGAAGUGGCAAUUACUUUGGACACCGAGUAAACAAGCAGUGCAGGAGGAUACUUAUGCCAAGGACAGGUAGAAGAAAUUGGAUGCAAAUAUUUGCACUUCAGAUUUCAUUCAGCCAGGAGGAAGGUUUCUAGAAAUUACACAGAUUCUGGAGUGAGAUGUCUAUUUGCAUUUUAAAGAAAACAAACAACAACAAAAAAAGCGCAAAACCUUAAGUGAUGUCAAGCAUAUAGAUUUUUUUUUAAAAUGAUUGUUUCAUUAGGUAAAAAAACUCAGAGUUUAAUGGUCCUAUUAUUUAAAAAUUUUGUAAACCAGAUGUUUAAUUUUUUGAAUAGGAGCACAUCAAUUUUGAGAUGAUGUUAAAGGAUUGUAAAAUUACAGUGAUGUAAAAUUAUAACAUGAGUAUUUCGUCUCAUUUUUUCCUUUCUGGAACAAAAAACAAAGGCAUAACAGUUCAGAACUUCAAACAAAUUACAAUGUUUUCACUACACCAGAACAUCAGUAAAUAAAAUCGUAGUAAGUCUUCUCAUGAGACCUUAUACACUUACGGAUUGUCUUGGUUUUGAUUAAAAGAAUAAAAUUACUUCCAGUUUUACCAUUUUGUGUGAAAGGGAGAUGUAAGGCCCACAAGUAUUCAAACUUAGUGCAUGAAGUUCAUCUCCCAUUUAACACCAAUGAAGUCCUUUUUACAUUCUUACAGUUGCUUCAUUGUUCUAGCUGAAUUCAACCACUAUGAGGUCUUUUGGGAAAAAAAGACAGUGCUUUGUUCAGGAGGCGACUGAAAAGUGCAUUACUACUUUAAAUAGUGCAUUAUGUGCCAGUUGAAAUAGAAGCUGAAAUAUUCCUGAAAACCAGGAGGUUUAUUUGUCCCCAUUCCUACACACAUGCUCCUGUGGCUAAUCGGUAUUUUGAAUACCUAGUGAGGUAGAUGCUGCUGUGGCACACUCAAGAUGUGGGAUAUGCACCAAGAAAGCAAAGUUCUCCGUUGUGUUCUUUUAUGUAGAGUUGAUGAAAUAGCUACUUUUCAUGAGAUCAACCAUUCAGGGUGUUCCCACAGCAAACACAGCAAUCUGAUUUAGCAGGCUGGCUGGAUUGUGCUAACUGAUCCACAGAAAGUUGUGACUCUGUUUGCGAGUUGCUUCUCUUUUAAAUGCUGAAUUGUACAACUUGUUGAUAGUAUCAGAGCUUGGAGAGCAAGACCAAAAGUCUGAAGCACGUCCUAAUCCUUGAGAUUCUCAUUGCCAUGUGCUGGUUCAAUGAGUACAGCACUAUUGCAGAGCCUGUCAUGUUUUGUAGUAUGAAAAGGCAUUUAGGCAAGAAAUAAGUGAAAUUUAAUCUACUCCAGCAAAAUAAAUUCCCGGUUCUUGAGCAUGAAGUAAAAGCUCCGUUACAUAUGCUGUCCACAAUGGGUAGUAAAUUAAAAUUUAAUGGAGAUUUCCUCUGCAAGUUACAGAGAAAAAGCAAACAAACAAACAAAAAAAAGCAAAAUCAACAAAACCCAAGAAAGAGCAAGAUUCAGAUUGCCUGGGAUUAUAGGAACUGGAGGAAAAAUAAAGACUGGUAAACUGAAUGCCUUUAAAUAACCAGAAAACAUCAUGAAAACCUAAAACUUUAAGAAUGCAAAGGAAAUUUAAUUAUUAAUUCAGAAAUUACUUCUCUUAUACUUAGAGUUCAUACAAUAUUUUAGAUUAGAGAUAGUUAACACAGAUUGUUCUAUGUUAAUUUCAUUUUCAUAUUGGUUUCUCCCAGAUUACAGUUGCACUUACAGCUGUAAAAAGGUAAACACCUAUAACUCGAGACUUACAUAGUGUUAUGCCUUAUAAGAAAAAUAUUGUGAAGGAAAUACAUUUGUUUUUAUUUCGGACAGAACUCUGUACUUUUCUUUCAUUGUUGCCAUUUACUGCUUUCUGUUUGUUGUGACUUACUCAUUUAGGGAAGAAUUGGGGGUUUUGUUCUUUUGCUUGGUCUUUUUUAAGGAGUAGUGAUUUUAAACCAAUAAAAACUGUGAAAAGUGAAGAUAUGCAGAACAAAUAUGAUGCAACUUUAAUUUUAUCAAGAUAAUCUGAUUUCAGGUUGAUAGUACUUCUUUAAGUUUUAACCUACCAUGGUCAAGACAAUCUUAUGUUUCUACUUACAGAAAUAAUGGAUUUAUAUUUUGAUAAUAUGACAUGCAUAACUUAGAAAAUACUUAAUUUCGUACACUAUUUUUUUUCUCUUUUUUUUUUUUUUUAUGCAAAGGAAUCUUAACCCCUUUGCUAUUUGAAGCAAAAUUCUGGAUAAUUUACAGUACCAUAAGUGCUCUGUGUUAACAUGUAUCAUUGCCUUUACAGAAUCCUCUGGGAAAGAAAAGUGACACUGUAAAAACUUUCAAAUAAUUUUAGGUUUCACUGGCUAGGAAGGGGAAACUGACCAAGACGCUCUUAAGCCUAAAUCAAGCUAAGACAAGAAGCCAGUACUCCAGCCAUAAGCAGGAACAGGUUGGUGGAGGAAUAAGGAGCAGUAACAGAUACCUGGACUCUGGAAGAGGCUGAGAAUGAGUGAGAAGAGGGUCCUUGAAUGCAGAUCUCCAAAACUGAAUGAAAAUAAGUAUUAAGAACACAUGAAGGGAAAAAAAAAAUAAAAAGGAGGGGGUGGAGAGAGGAAUAGGUAAAGAAGAAGAAAUUGCAAUAUGGUAAAAGAAAAGGUGGAAGUGAACAAUGGAGCCAGAGACCUAUGCAAAAAUAAAUGAAAAGAAUGAAGGAAAAACAUUAUUUGAUAUUUCAGAGAACUGGAGGAAGUAAUUGAGAUUAAAUCUGGGAGAAAAUCACAGAGAAUGAACACAGAAGGCUACAAAUCUCAUUGCAGCUCACAGCUUUCCCAGUGUGCUGAAUGACUAACUCAACAAUCUCAUCCAACUUGUGAAAUAUUCAAAAUACCAUUAGUUAAUUUUGUAACCUCCUCCCUGGAAAUGCAGUACACUUUUUGUACCUCUAGAAAUGUGUCUCACAAGUUAAGAAGUGAUUAAUUUGACAAGUUAUUGAGCCCAACUGUCCCAUCAGUAACCAACUUGAAUAGGAAGGCCAGUAAAUAUGUUGACAGCAGAACAUCAGUGAGUAAAAUAAUGAUCAUUCUGUAGAGGUUAAAUGGGAAUGGCAAAACAGCUAUGCUGGCUCUUGCCCACUCUGAGCUUGUGCAGUAAAUAAGUGUUGUCAGUCAGUCUCCAAAUGUUACAUUCAAGAGUGAAAUCAAGAUAAAAGAUCUGAGCCUAUCCCUGAUCUGUUCUCUUAUAAAAAGAAGACAUUUUAUGAAUAUUGUCUGAGUGUUAAUGAAUUCAGAAUGUAAACAGGGGCUGAUAUAUUUGAUUUAUAAACACAGUAUAGGAAACAAUCCCUAAUUUCUUGGAGUUCUUGGCAUCUUGCAAGGACUCCUGUCCCUUUUAGUAUCCAGUAUGGAUUAUGUUAAAAGUAAAUUCCUCUGUUAAAUGUCAGCAAAUCCAAUAAAUGCAUUAGCAUCUUAUCUAA
Cyanistes caeruleus (blue tit) is the source of this 5248-nucleotide non-coding RNA. Lineage: Eukaryota; Metazoa; Chordata; Aves; Passeriformes; Paridae. The record is from RefSeq and is a predicted model, not a curated record.